ACCGGCAGCUCAAGUGGUGGCCAUUUUUAUUGGGCCUAAAGCGUUCGUAGCCGGUUUGAUAAGUCUCUGGUGAAAUCCCGCAGCUUAACUGUGGGACUUGCUGGAGAUACUAUUAGACUUGAGGUCGGGAGAGGUUAGGGGUACUCCAAGGAUAGGGGUGAAAUCCUAUAACCCUGGGAGGACCACCUGUGGUGAAGGCGUCUAAAUGUAACGACCCUGCCGUUGAGUAACGAAAGCCAGGGGCGCGAACCG
RNAcentral lists this ribosomal RNA (252 nucleotides) under uncultured prokaryote. RNAcentral describes it as "partial 16S rRNA". It matches the Rfam family "Archaeal small subunit ribosomal RNA", at positions 475 to 726 of the family's 1478-position model. The record is from RNAcentral.